UACGUAGGGUGCGAGCGUUAAUCGGAAUUACUGGGCGUAAAGCGUGCGCAGGCGGUUCGCUGUGUCCGAUGUGAAAGCCCCGGGCUUAACCUGGGAAUGGCGAUGGAGACUGCGAGGCUAGAGUUUGGCAGAGGGGGGUAGAAUUCCACGUGUAGCAGUGAAAUGCGUAGAGAUGUGGAGGAACACCGAUGGCGAAGGCAGCCCCCUGGGUCAAAACUGACGCUCAUGCACGAAAGCGUGGGGAGCAAACAGG
This 253-nucleotide ribosomal RNA is filed under the name uncultured bacterium. RNAcentral describes it as "partial 16S ribosomal RNA". It matches the Rfam family "Bacterial small subunit ribosomal RNA", at positions 524 to 776 of the family's 1533-position model. The record is from RNAcentral.